GGGGUGAGCUAUUGUGAUCACUCAGCGUCCGUCUGUCCAUCUGUCUGUCUGUAAACAAUUUGUAAACAUCUUCUUCUACUAAACCAUUGAGCCAAUUUCAACUAAAUUUCAUGUGGAGCAUCCCUAGGUCAUGGGACAAAAGAAUUGUUAAAAAAAAAUUUGAUCACAUAACCAAGAUGGCCGCCAUGACCAUAUAUGGUAAAAAACUUAAAAAAUCUUCUUGUCAGAAACCGCUCAUCAGAUUUUUUAAAAAUUUCACAGGGAUGACCUUUGAAGGCUCCCCUGAAAAAGUUGUUCAAAGAAAUUUGAUUCGUCAAAAAACAUGGCCGCAGGAGCUCGUUGAACUAUGCAUGUUUAUUCGUUUUUGCCUAUUUUGUGAAAACUUUCAAAAAUCUUCCACAUUUUUUGUCCGAUCCUUUCCAAAUUUGCACAGUGUCUUUAUAUCAAUGAGGACACGAACCCUACAAAAAACGAGCAUUAUUGGUCCAUGAAGUACAGAAUUACCUCCCCUUGAAUUGAGAAAAUGGUGUUUAUGCAAUAAAGUCCAAAUUUUUCAUCCAAUUCUUUCCAAACUUGUUUAUAUAUCAGAUUAAAGAGAAUAAAAUUUUCUUUAUUAUGGUUUUUCUUUCAUGAAAAUCCAUAAAGGAUAAGUGUUAUUAAUCGUUGCUUAAUUAAUGAACAAUGCGAAUUAUCGGUAUUGAUUUUUUUCCUGACAUGCCGUCCCAGAUAUUAACCGCUUUCAGCUGUAGACUGUGCAUCAAUACAUCGCCGUGUUAUUGACCUGAAAAAUUCAUACGCAGUCGGCAUUAACACCGGUCAUCGAGACAAAUUACUGAUGUGAAAACAAAUCGUACAUCGUAGAGGAUUAAAUAAACAAUUACAUCUGAUUAAAGAUUAAAGAUUGCUGCCGAUUUAAAUCAAUUUGAGUACUUUUUGCGUAUAUUUGAUGCCGAAUGGGAAGCUGUGUUUAGACUUAAGUUGAGAAAAAUGGCAACGAGAUACUUGCCUGUUGGUAGCUAAAGAAACUUCAGCGUACAGUUUAUAAUGGGUGGCCAUUCCCAGCUGUAGUCUACGGGCGGGUAGUGAACUGGUUGAGAAAAGUGGAAGCUUGUGGAAAAGCGGUUUGAGAAGUUUGUAAGAAAACCCUGAAUUAUCAGUCUUGUGGGAAGAAGGCAUUGCGUCUCCACGCAGAGGGCCCUUAUCACAUAAAGAAUAUAAGAACCAUCAAGACCAACCAGGUUUUAUCUGGUUCUUCAAAAGCAACACCUGCAGUCGAGUCCAUGCCAGACAGAGGGUGCAUGUGAAUGAAUUGCCUUUUGACUAAGUUUUGUGUGUUCCUUAUCAAAUACAUGAAGAUUUUUAAA
Long non-coding RNA from Dreissena polymorpha, 1364 nucleotides. RefSeq lists it as uncharacterized. The record is from RefSeq and is a predicted model, not a curated record. NCBI's taxonomy places the organism in Eukaryota, Metazoa, Mollusca, Bivalvia, Myida, Dreissenidae. The transcript is spliced from 2 exons.